UACGUAGGGUGCAAGCGUUGUCCGGAAUUACUGGGCGUAAAGCGCACGUAGGCGGAUAUUUAAGUCAGGGGUGAAAUCCCAGAGCUCAACUCUGGAACUGCCUUUGAUACUGGGUAUCUGGAGUAUGGAAGAGGUGAGUGGAAUUCCGAGUGUAGAGGUGAAAUUCGUAGAUAUUCGGAGGAACACCAGUGGCGAAGGCGGCUCACUGGUCCAUUACUGACGCUGAGGUGCGAAAGCGUGGGGAGCAAACAGG
RNAcentral lists this ribosomal RNA (253 nucleotides) under uncultured bacterium. RNAcentral's name for it is "partial 16S ribosomal RNA". It matches the Rfam family "Bacterial small subunit ribosomal RNA", at positions 524 to 776 of the family's 1533-position model. The record is from RNAcentral.